CCUACGGGUGGCAGCAGUGGGGAAUAUUGGGCAAUGGGCGCAAGCCUGACCCAGCAACGCCGCGUGAAGGAAGAAGGCUUUCGGGUUGUAAACUUCUUUUGUCAGGGAAGAGUAGAAGACGGUACCUGACGAAUAAGCCACGGCUAACUACGUGCCAGCAGCCGCGGUAAUACGUAGGUGGCAAGCGUUGUCCGGAUUUACUGGGUGUAAAGGGCGUGUAGCCGGGUUGACAAGUCAGAUGUGAAAUCCUGCGGCUUAACCGCAGAACUGCAUUUGAAACCGUCGAUCUUGAGUACUGGAGAGGCAGACGGAAUUACUAGUGUAGCGGUGAAAUGCGUAGAUAUUAGGAGGAACACCAGUGGCGAAGGCGGUCUGCUGGACAGCAACUGACGGUGAGGCGCGAAAGCGUGGGGAGCAAACAGGAUUAGAUACCCCAGUAGUC
Molecule: ribosomal RNA, 442 nt
Filed under: uncultured bacterium
Lineage: Bacteria
Description: partial 16S ribosomal RNA
Rfam family: Bacterial small subunit ribosomal RNA
Source: RNAcentral